RNAcentral lists this long non-coding RNA (374 nucleotides) under Homo sapiens (human). RNAcentral describes it as "HSALNT0054998". Lineage: Eukaryota; Metazoa; Chordata; Mammalia; Primates; Hominidae. The record is from RNAcentral.
AAUGUAAUUUAUUUGAAAUACUUCCAGAAAAGUUUAAGGCCAUUAUACAAAAAGGUCUUCCAGCAGGAGGUCUUUCACGGGGAUUGGCUGACGGUACAGCUGGUAGCAAAGCUGCUCAUUGUGGGUGACGGCUCGAGUGAUCACAAGCACUUCUUGGAACAGGAAAACAUGCAGUUUCUAGAAGAAAAACAUGACAACACAAGACUCGAGAGCUGUCGAUCAGGGAGUCUUUCUGGCCUUCUUCCAAAUGAAUGAUCUCUCUUGAAAUAUUAAGGCAUAUUUUCUAAAUUAUUCAUCUUAGAACAUUACUUGCCUUUCGGAUACCUUUGGGAUAUUUCAGCCUUGGUGCUAAAAUUGACUCCUGAACUAAAGCU